Molecule: long non-coding RNA, 840 nt
Organism: Papaver somniferum (opium poppy)
Lineage: Eukaryota; Viridiplantae; Streptophyta; Magnoliopsida; Ranunculales; Papaveraceae
Exons: 2
Source: RefSeq, a predicted model, not a curated record
AUGAAAAUGAAAUGGAACACAGUUCCUCUUCCUCUCCACUUUUGUCUUUUCUUUCUUGUUUUAUAUACAACAUUAAUUAAAAGUAUAACAUGAACACUUACUCACCAAAUACAUGAACUAGCACUAUUGUUAAGAUGAUUGAAUUCCACCCGUAUUCGAUGAAAACAUAAAACGUUAUCAACACGAAUUACUCGAUAGCUGCAGUGUGUUCCUUGGUCGAUUAGAGGAGUUGUAGCGGGAGCAACAUCUAUAAUUGGCGGAAAUUAUUAUUUUUCUUUCCCUAAUUCUUUAUGUUUUAUGUUUAUUGAAUAUAAUCUUAACUUUGUACUUACCCAUAUUAUUUUUGUUGUGGUCAGGAUACCGUAACGGAUUAAAGUUUCGAUUUGUACAGUUAAAUUGAACUUUAUCCUAAUUAAGGCGCAUAUAUAUAUAUAUAUAAACGUGAUAUAUAUUUUAAUUUGUAAUUGUUGGUAAGUAUGGGAUGAAAUUUGUUCCACCAGAAGAUGGAACAUCGCGUGGUAUAAUAUGGGUGCAAAAUGUGUGCUCUGCUAGCCAGUUGGUCCCAGAAGUGACCCGUUAUAAGUGCUAGCCAUUCCUAUCGCUGGUCCCUGAAGUGACCAACUAGGCAACUUUGCCAUAAACAGUUUAUCCAUUUGUGCACUUGUAAACUAAUAUUCCGUUGACCCUGAAGGUGACGAAGUUGGAGAUUUGUUGAUAUUGUAUUAGUGCCAUAUGUGUUUUGAUGUUUAUCCUUUGUUUUAUCCUUUGUUUAUUUUCUUUGCUUAUUUUUGUAAGUAAUCGAUUCCAGAAGCAAUCCAUGAAAUGUUGUCGACUCCAAAA